This 429-nucleotide ribosomal RNA is filed under the name bacterium. RNAcentral's name for it is "partial 16S ribosomal RNA". It matches the Rfam family "Bacterial small subunit ribosomal RNA", at positions 355 to 776 of the family's 1533-position model. The record is from RNAcentral.
UAGGGAAUCUUCCACAAUGGACGCAAGUCUGAUGGAGCAACGCCGCGUGAGUGAAGAAGGUUUUCGGAUCGUAAAGCUCUGUUGUUGGUGAAGAAGGAUAGAGGUAGUAACUGGCCUUUAUUUGACGGUAAUCAACCAGAAAGUCACGGCUAACUACGUGCCAGCAGCCGCGGUAAUACGUAGGUGGCAAGCGUUGUCCGGAUUUAUUGGGCGUAAAGCGAGCGCAGGCGGAAGAAUAAGUCUGAUGUGAAAGCCCUCGGCUUAACCGAGGAACUGCAUCGGAAACUGUUUUUCUUGAGUGCAGAAGAGGAGAGUGGAAUUCCAUGUGUCGCGGUGGAAUGCGUAGAUAUAUGGAAGAACACCAGUGGCGAAGGCGACUCUCUGGUCUGCAACUGACGCUGAGGCUCGAAAGCAUGGGUAGCGAACAGG